Molecule: ribosomal RNA, 471 nt
Filed under: uncultured organism
Description: partial 16S ribosomal RNA
Rfam family: Bacterial small subunit ribosomal RNA
Source: RNAcentral
ACUCCUGCGGGAGGCAGCAGUGGGGAAUUUUGGACAAUGGGCGAAAGCCUGAUCCAGCAAUGCCGCGUGUGUGAAGAAGGCCUUCGGGUUGUAAAGCACUUUUGUCCGGAAAGAAAUCCUUGGCUCUAAUACAGUCGGGGGAUGACGGUACCGGAAGAAUAAGCACCGGCUAACUACGUGCCAGCAGCCGCGGUAAUACGUAGGGUGCGAGCGUUAAUCGGAAUUACUGGGCGUAAAGCGUGCGCAGGCGGUUUGCUAAGACCGAUGUGAAAUCCCCGGGCUCAACCUGGGAACUGCAUUGGUGACUGGCAGGCUAGAGUAUGGCAGAGGGGGGUAGAAUUCCACGUGUAGCAGUGAAAUGCGUAGAGAUGUGGAGGAAUACCGAUGGCGAAGGCAGCCCCCUGGGCCAAUACUGACGCUCAUGCACGAAAGCGUGGGGAGCAAACAGGAUUAGAUACCCGUGUAGUCCCA